This 1878-nucleotide ribosomal RNA is filed under the name Triticum aestivum (bread wheat). Its description in RNAcentral is "partial small subunit ribosomal RNA". The record is from RNAcentral. Lineage: Eukaryota; Viridiplantae; Streptophyta; Magnoliopsida; Poales; Poaceae.
AUGGGGAGUUCGCGCAACAAGUUCACCUCUCUUCUCCUCAUGUUCUGCCUGGUUGUGCUGGUGAGAGCGGAGUAUGCCAAGUACAAGGAUCCGAAGCAGCCUCUCGCCGUUCGCAUCAACGAUCUGCUUGGUCGGAUGACUCUGGCUGAAAAGAUCGGCCAGAUGACUCAGAUUGAGAGGGUGAAUGCCACGGCAGAGGCCAUGUCCAAAUACUUCAUAGGCAGUGUGCUGAGUGGUGGAGGCAGCGUGCCUGCUCCUCAAGCAUCUGCUGAGGCUUGGGCUUCGAUGGUGAAUGAGAUACAAAAGGGUUCUCUUUCUACACGGCUUGGUAUUCCGAUGAUCUACGGUAUUGAUGCUGUCCAUGGCAACAAUAAUGCCUACAGAGCUACUAUCUUCCCCCACAAUAUUGGGCUUGGAGCUACCAGGGACCCUAUGCUGGUGAAGAGGAUAGGAGAAGCAACUGCUCUUGAAGUUAGAGCUACCGGAAUCUCUUACGCCUUUGCUCCGUGCAUUGCGGUUUGUAGAGACCCAAGAUGGGGACGGUGCUACGAAAGCUAUAGCGAAGACCCAAAGGUUGUCCAGUCAAUGACCACACUCAUCUCUGGCUUGCAAGGGGAUGCUCCAUCAGAUUACACAGGAAGGCCAUAUGUUGGUGGAAGCAAGAAGGUCGCUGCAUGCGCGAAGCACUAUGUCGGUGAUGGUGGAACAUAUAUGGGAAUCAACGCAAACAACACAAUCAUUGAUACGCAUGGGCUAAUGAGCAUCCAUAUGCCUGCUUAUUACAAUUCUAUCAUCAGAGGUGUCUCCACAGUUAUGGUCUCCUACUCUAGUUGGAAUGGGGAGAAAAUGCAUGCAAACCAUUUCCUUAUCACCGAUUUUCUCAAGAACAAGCUCAAAUUUAGGGGUUUUGUGAUUACAGACUAUGAAGGCAUUGAUCAGAUCACCUCUCCUCCGGGCGUAAACUAUUCUUAUUCAGUUGAGGCUGGAAUUGGUGCCGGUAUUGACAUGGUGAUGGUUCCUUUCGCCUACACAGAAUUCAUUGAUGAUCUGACAUACCAAGUUAAGAACAACAUUAUCCCCAUGAGCAGAAUCGACGAUGCUGUCUACAGGAUUCUUCGUGUCAAGUUCACCAUGGGUCUGUUUGAGAACCCGUUCGCCGAUCCAAGCCUCGCCGGUGAAAUUGGCAGCCAUGAACGCCGCGAAGUUGCCCGUGAAGCUGUCAGGAAAUCCCUGGUGUUGCUGAAGAACGGAAAAUCUGCCUCCACUCCGUUGCUGCCUCUCCCGAAGAAGGCCGGUAAGAUCCUCGUCGCCGGCAGCCACGCCGACAACCUGGGCAACCAAUGUGGGGGGUGGACGAUCACAUGGCAAGGAGAGCCUGGCAAUAACAACACUGCAGGCACGACGAUCCUCUCGGCGAUCAAGUCCACGGUCGACCCCGGCACGCAGGUGGUCUACGCCGAGAACCCAGGCAGAAGCGCCGUGGAUGCCGGCGAGUACGACUACGCCGUCGUGGUGGUCGGUGAGCCGCCGUACGCCGAGACAGCGGGCGACAACCUGAACUUGACGAUCCCGGAGCCCGGCCCGGCCGUGAUCCAGACCGUGUGCGAGAGCGUCAAGUGCGUGGUGGUCCUCAUCUCCGGCAGGCCGUUGGUGGUGGAGCCGUACAUCGGCGCCAUGGACGCGUUCGUGGCCGCCUGGCUGCCCGGCUCGGAGGGUCAGGGCGUCGCCGACGUGCUGUUUGGUGAUUACGGGUUCACCGCGAAGCUGCCGCGGACGUGGUUCAAGUCGGUGGACCAGCUGCCGAUGAACGUCGGCGACGAGCACUACGACCCGCUGUUUCCCUUCGGGUUCGGGCUCACCACCGAGGCGAUGAAAUGA